AGCAUAAUACCCUCCAGUUCCAUCCGUGUAGUUGCAAAUGACAUAGAGUCUUCUUUAAAGAACAAUAUGUCAAUCAGCAGGCCUCUGGCGCAGUUGAAUCCUUGGGGGGCACUGACAGGAUGGACUAAUUGCUUACCGGACACAUCUGCCCUCUUGUGAUGAAAAUUAUUCAAAUAGGAUCUUCUCCAGGUCUCUGGAAUGCACCUACUUAGUCCUUGGGUCUAGUUCCAUGGUUGAAGGAUGGAGGAUGGGUAGCCAAUGAGGAAGCUGACUCUGUAGAGUCAGACUUAUGGAUCUCCCAACCUUCUCCAAGACGUUCCUAGCUUUGUGACUCUCAGACAGUGAGGCUUAUAAAUGUGACUCCAGAGUCCUGUAACUUUUAGCACCAGGGAUAAGGGGGAAACAGAUUAGGCUUCCUGAAGAGUCCCAGGGACACUAAUGAGACCCCAUCUGCGUCCGUAGGGAAGGAGUUUAUUUUGUUUAAGUGGCCCUAGUGGAUUAGGACCAGAUGUACAAGACUUGGCAGAAAGAUGGUCAAUUGAAGAAUGAACUGAAGGUCACAAACUAUCAGAACAGAGAGGAAACGGAAGCAGACAGGCCCGUGUUCUAGUCCGUGCUCUACCGGUGACAUGCUGUGUGACCUUGGGCAAGUUGCUUUUGUUUGGCACCAGUUUCCUCAGCGGUAGAGUGACAGAACUGAACUACAUGAGCUCAAAAUCUCAGGUGUCGCCAGGUGCGUCUUUCAACGUUCACCAAAAUCCCUUUUCUGAUGGGCUCCCCAUCACACACACAUUUUUAUGCACAUUAUGAUUAGUAAGACAAGAUCCACACCCAUCGUCAUGGGUUUUCCUCAUUCAUGAAGUAACUCCUACUUCUCUGGGUUGUUGGGAAGUCGUCGUCUCCAUUUGAUGCAGUGUUAGGGGGUCCCGUCAGACUAGGUUUGUUUGGGCGAAGCAAGGACACGUAUGCACAGCUAUAUAUUUUUUUAAGUAAGGAAAACUGAUUUUGAAGAUACUGAUGCCUACGCUGAUGAAUUAUUAUGCUGCACAGUGCCAGCUUCAAACAGAGGCUGAUUUAGGGAUUAUUCAUUCUCCCUGAAAUUGUGGUGAUUACUGGUGCCAGCCUGUAGCUCUAAUCUGUAGGGUGGGGUCCAGGGUCAAAGGAGACCUUACUGGCUUCACUUUACCUUACAGAUUAUGUUCUGUAACUUCCAUCUGCUUCCAGACCAUUUAGUUUACCCCUAGACUUCAUGGGCUGACAUAGGUUAAAAAAGAAAGAAAACUUCAUAGCAAAAAUCUUUGAUUGAUAAUCCUACUCCAAAGAAACAACCCUAAAGAAUGUUCUACAUCCACAGAAACAUCAUGUGAAAUAAUCACCACCACAACCAGUCUGGAAGACUGGAUCUCUAACAUUUGGAACAUAAUUAAGCAAAUUCUCUAACCAACAGAAUUCAAACGAUAAUGAUGAAGCCUAUGUAACAAUGUGGGAACAUGUCUGAUUGAAAGAAACCACAAACGUCCACUGUGAUCAUAACCAUGUAAUUUUCCAGAAGGAAAUCCUGACGCAUGGCUACAGCAUGGAUGGACCUGAGGACAUCAUGCUAAGCGAAGUGAGCCAGUUACGCAAAAAUGCUGUGUGAUUCUACUUAUGUGAGUCCGGCAGCAGAAGGGGAUGCCUGGCGAAGGCUUGUGGGCCCAGCUUGGUGUGGAGCAGGAGACGGGAGCUCCUGCUCCCAUCUCGACUGUGUGAGGAAGACCUGGAUGUGCCUCCCGCUGUUCGGUGAGUGACACUUAAAUGGUAGCGCUGUUUGGGGAUAACGACGAAAACUAACGGCUAUGCUUUUCACUGACAGAGCUAGACUGUUCCAAGAAGCUUGAGGUGGACUAUUUUUGGACUUGACUUUGAGAAUUUCCAGGCCCAUAUUUGACCUUGUUGGGAAGUUCCCUAAGCCCAAGCGUUGAGAAGAGAACCACCUGGGCGGUCCAUCGUGAGCUGAAAUGAACAACGUCGAUUUCACUUUCUUUUAGCCAGGAAGUCUGAGGUCGAAGCACCCCUGGCCAUCAGCUCACCACGCUCAUUCCACAUCGGUUGCCCAGAAUCUCUGGUAGAGAUAAUCACCCCGUGAAGCAGCCACUCUUACUUAGACCUGCUAAGAGGGCACCCGGCGAUCUCUGUCAGCAGAGUGAGACUCUAGGACUAAAACAAAAGCCUAGGAGGAGCCCUUGUCUUGGCAAAACCUUGGGUGGAUCAAAUCGCAACACUGCACAGACCUAGUAACUACAGCGGUGAGGUGAGCAGACCGUCAACCUGUCGGGGAGUACGGAGGAGGAAGAGACUAUUCCAGGUAAAACACUUGGUCGUCGAGCACCUUUUCUCCAAGAAGUUUGGCACUAACUCUAUACCAUGUCCUCAAUUCUUCCACGAAGAUAGCGUGACCAACUCACCUCCGGGGUCCUCAGGGCAGGCGUUUGAGCUCAGUCUUCUUCCUCUAAUGUCCGAUAAAAAUAACCCUACACGUGCAUUACGUCUCUUCAUAGUGUAUUUACAGUAAGUAAAACGGCCCGCCAGGCACACUCACGCCCUGCAAAAUUGUAACAGCUGCUCAGGGACGCUCGUGCCCGUCACCAAGGCAGCAGGGUCCCCUGAGACUCCGAGAGGGGCGAAUGCACGGGGCGGCUGGCUCUGCUAGCGGGCCGCCCGGGGCCCACACUCCAUGCACAGCAGCGGCCUCUCAGAAGCAGACGAUCCGCUUCUCGUCUUGGAAGACUUUGGCCUCCUCUGGCUUUAUCAAGUUUCCAUUUAGGCUGUCGGGGAGAAACAAAGAACACAAAACAUUAGCAGUUUGUAGGAGCCUUCCCGGGACGUGUUCCCGACACCCUCCUGUUCUUCACGUGGCCCAGAAGUUCCGGAACGUGCUCCAUUCAGACACUUGCUUGGUAAGAUUACUCCCUUCCAGCUGUCGUCGCUCUAUGAACUGGGUCUCACUAAGGUCACCAGUAGCCUCUAGGAGCCUGAACUUCAUGACCUUGUCUCAGGCCUUGUCUGUCCCGUCCUUCACGGGCGUUUGGCUGUUCUCUCCCCUGCCUCCUUGAACCACCACAUUUGCUCGGCUUGAUUUCUUGCUCUCUGGUUUUCUCCUGUGUCUGCCACUCCACCUCCGUCUCCUCUCCCAUGGUCUCCCGCAUGUGGUCUCUAGAUACUGGAUUCCUCUAGACUGGGGGCUUGGCCCUUUUCCCCAGCUGACCUCAUCCCUACGUGAGUGGACCUGCGGCCCAGACCUCUCCCGUGUGGCUCCACUUACUUGACAUCUUCACUUGGACGCCGCCCAGGGACCCUGGCUCAGUGCACGGGACCACUCUUUAUCCACCUGUGCAAGACUUGGUGGCAGCGUUGGGAUCUGAAGCGAACUUCCUCCGGGGCCAAGAAGACCCACAGGCAGGGCGCCCUGCCAGCGCGCUUCUGAGUUCAAGGUCAGCCUCGCCCGUUUCCCCAUGUUUCCGGGGUGCCACCGGGGAGUCCCUCUCCAUUCGUACUCACCUCCUUGCACCGGAGCUCCCACCCUAACAGGCUUGCCAGUCUACGGUUAACGGGUCAGCACAGACCGAUGGGGGUGGGAUGGGGGGGCGGUUCUCACGGAGCGC
This is a long non-coding RNA of Lynx canadensis (Canada lynx), 3641 nucleotides long. RefSeq lists it as uncharacterized. The record is from RefSeq and is a predicted model, not a curated record. Lineage: Eukaryota; Metazoa; Chordata; Mammalia; Carnivora; Felidae. The transcript has 5 exons.